GGGGGAUUAGCUCAGUUGGCAGAGCACCUGCUUUGCAAGCAGGGGGUCGUCGGUUCGAACCCGUCAUCCUCCACCA
RNAcentral lists this transfer RNA (76 nucleotides) under Tepidimonas alkaliphilus. RNAcentral describes it as "tRNA-Ala". It matches the Rfam family "tRNA". Rfam says of the family: Transfer RNA (tRNA) molecules are approximately 80 nucleotides in length. The record is from RNAcentral. Lineage: Bacteria; Pseudomonadati; Pseudomonadota; Betaproteobacteria; Burkholderiales.